This 906-nucleotide ribosomal RNA is filed under the name unidentified eubacterium RB06. Its description in RNAcentral is "bacterial SSU rRNA". It matches the Rfam family "Bacterial small subunit ribosomal RNA", at positions 446 to 1364 of the family's 1533-position model. The record is from RNAcentral. Lineage: Bacteria; Pseudomonadati; Pseudomonadota; Betaproteobacteria.
CGAAUAACUAUUACUAAUGACGGUACCUGAAGAAUAAGCACCGGCUAACUACGUGCCAGCANCCGCGGUAAUACGUAGGGUGCAAGCGUUAAUCGGAAUUACUGGGCGUAAAGCGUGCGCAGGCGGUUGUGUAAGUCAGAUGUGAAAUCCCCGGGCUCAACCUGGGAAUUGCAUUUGAGACUSCACGGCUAGAGUGUGUCAGAGGGGGGUAGAAUUCCACGUGUAGCCAGUGAAAUGCGUAGAUAUGUGGAGGAAUACCGAUGGCGAAGGCAGCCCCCUGGGAUAACACUGACGCUCAUGCACGAAAGCGUGGGGAGCACACAGGAUUAGAUACCCUGGUAGUCCACGCCCUAAACGAUGUCUACUAGUUGUCGGGUCUUAAUUGACUUGGUAACGCAGCUAACGCGUGAAGUAGACCGCCUGGGGAGUACGGUCGCAAGAUUAAAACUCAAAGGAAUUGACGGGGACCCGCACAAGCGGUGGAUGAUGUGGAUUAAUUCGAUGCAACGCGAAAAACCUUACCUACCCUUGACAUGGAUGGAAUCCUGAAGAGAUUUGGGAGUGCUCGAAAGAGAACCAUCACACAGGUGCUGCAUGGCUGUCGUCAGCUCGUGUCGUGAGAUGUUGGGUUAAGUCCCGCAACGAGCGCAACCCUUGUCAUUAGUUGCUACGAAAGGGCACUCUAAUGAGACUGCCGGUGACAAACCGGAGGAAGGUGGGGAUGACGUCAAGUCCUCAUGGCCCUUAUGGGUAGGGCUUCACACGUCAUACAAUGGUACAUACAGAGGGCCGCCAACCCGCGAGGGGGAGCUAAUCCCAGAAAGUGUAUCGUAGUCCGGAUUGGAGUCUGCAACUCGACUCCAUGAAGUUGGAAUCGCUAGUAAUCGCGGAUCAGCAUGUCGCGUG